RNAcentral lists this ribosomal RNA (141 nucleotides) under Phoboscincus bocourti. Its description in RNAcentral is "partial small subunit ribosomal RNA". The record is from RNAcentral. Lineage: Eukaryota; Metazoa; Chordata; Lepidosauria; Squamata; Scincidae.
GAGAUGGGCUACACUCUCUUUUUAAGAAAACACGAACAGCAUUAAUGAAACACUGCUCGAAGGUGGAUUUAGUAGUAAGACAGACAAGAAAGCCUGUCUAAAACCAGCCCUGGAGCGCGCACACACCGCCCGUCACCCUCA